AGUAACACGUGGGCAACCUGCCUAUAAGACUGGGAUAACUUCGGGAAACCGGAGCUAAUACCGGAUACGUUCUUUUCUCGCAUGAGAGAAGAUGGAAAGACGGUUUACGCUGUCACUUAUAGAUGGGCCCGCGGCGCAUUAGCUAGUUGGUGAGGUAAUGGCUCACCAAGGCGACGAUGCGUAGCCGACCUGAGAGGGUGAUCGGCCACACUGGGACUGAGACACGGCCCAGACUCCUACGGGAGGCAGCAGUAGGGAAUCUUCCGCAAUGGACGAAAGUCUGACGGAGCAACGCCGCGUGAACGAAGAAGGCCUUCGGGUCGUAAAGUUCUGUUGUUAGGGAAGAACAAGUACCAGAGUAACUGCUGGUACCUUGACGGUACCUAACCAGAAAGCCACGGCUAACUACGUGCCAGCAGCCGCGGUAAUACGUAGGUGGCAAGCGUUGUCCGGAAUUAUUGGGCGUAAAGCGCGCGCAGGUGGUUCCUUAAGUCUGAUGUGAAAGCCCACGGCUCAACCGUGGAGGGUCAUUGGAAACUGGGGAACUUGAGUGCAGAAGAGGAAAGUGGAAUUCCAAGUGUAGCGGUGAAAUGCGUAGAGAUUUGGAGGAACACCAGUGGCGAAGGCGACUUUCUGGUCUGUAACUGACACUGAGGCGCGAAAGCGUGGGGAGCAAACAGGAUUAGAU
This 688-nucleotide ribosomal RNA is filed under the name Bacillus sp. Hs1A4. RNAcentral's name for it is "bacterial SSU rRNA". It matches the Rfam family "Bacterial small subunit ribosomal RNA", at positions 109 to 783 of the family's 1533-position model. The record is from RNAcentral. Lineage: Bacteria; Bacillati; Bacillota; Bacilli; Caryophanales; Bacillaceae.